Molecule: transfer RNA, 89 nt
Rfam family: tRNA
About the family: Transfer RNA (tRNA) molecules are approximately 80 nucleotides in length. Their secondary structure includes four short double-helical elements and three loops (D, anti-codon, and T loops). Further hydrogen bonds mediate the characteristic L-shaped molecular structure. tRNAs have two regions of fundamental functional importance: the anti-codon, which is responsible for specific mRNA codon recognition, and the 3' end, to which the tRNAs corresponding amino acid is attached (by aminoacyl-tRNA synthetases). tRNAs cope with the degeneracy of the genetic code in two manners: having more than one tRNA (with a specific anti-codon) for a particular amino acid; and 'wobble' base-pairing, i.e. permitting non-standard base-pairing at the 3rd anti-codon position.
GGGCAAUUAGUUCAGUUGGUAGAGCGUUCGCUUUGCAUUUCCCCCUCCCAGCAUGCGAAAGGUCGUGAUUUCGAUUAUCACAUUGUCCA